AUACGUAGGGGGCAAGCGUUAUCCGGAAUUACUGGGUGUAAAGGGUGCGUAGGCGGCACGACAAGUCAGAAGUGAAAGGCGGGGGCUUAACCCCCGAACUGCUUUUGAAACUGUCGAGCUGGAGUACAGGAGAGGAAAGCGGAAUUCCUAGUGUAGCGGUGAAAUGCGUAGAUAUUAGGAAGAACACCAGUGGCGAAGGCGGCUUUCUGGACUGAAACUGACGCUGAGGCACGAAAGCGUGGGGAGCAAACAGGAUUAGAUACCCUGGUAGUCCACGCUGUAAACGAUGAAUGCUAGGUGUUGGGUCUACGGACUCGGUGCCGCAGUUAACGCAAUAAGCAUUCCACCUGGGGAGUACGACCGCAAGGUUGAAACUCAAAUGAAUUGGCGGGG
This 393-nucleotide ribosomal RNA is filed under the name uncultured bacterium. Its description in RNAcentral is "partial 16S ribosomal RNA". It matches the Rfam family "Bacterial small subunit ribosomal RNA", at positions 523 to 918 of the family's 1533-position model. The record is from RNAcentral.